GUGCUGUUUUCUUUAUGGUUUAAUAACAUAUCUUUUAAAAUCAAGAAAAUUAUAAUACCGUAAUUAAAAAAUUAUUUGUCAUAUAAAUGUUGAAUUUAUAUAUUUCAUUAUUAUUGACACAAAAAUAGAACUUUUUAUACAGUUGAUUACUCCCUUGGGCAAGAUCUGUGAAUGAAAGUUAGAUACUGUAUAUAUUUAUACCAUCCGUGGGCAUGCCAUUUCUGCUUCCUGGUCUACCAUCUUGAUUUUUCUCUUUUUGUAUCAGACAACAGUUUCUUUUUCAAACUCAAUAAUACUGCAUUUUAUAAAUAUGUAUAUGGUUUGAAAUGCUGUAUUUAUGAGUGUUUUUAUUUAUUACAAUUAAUGUUCACAUUUUCAAUUUGGUUGAUAUUUGAAAAAAGU
Molecule: long non-coding RNA, 402 nt
Filed under: Androctonus crassicauda
Lineage: Eukaryota; Metazoa; Arthropoda; Arachnida; Scorpiones; Buthidae
Source: RNAcentral